UACGUAGGUGGCAAGCGUUAUCCGGAAUUAUUGGGCGUAAAGGGCGCGCAGGCGGUUUUGUAAGUGUGAUGUGAAAGCCCACGGCUCAACCGUGGAGGGUCAUUGGAAACUGCAUGACUUGAGUGCGGAAGAGGAAAGUGGAAUUCCAUGUGUAGCGGUGAAAUGCGUAGAGAUCUGGAGGAACACCAGUGGCGAAGGCGGCUUUCUGGUCUGUAACUGACGCUGAGGUGCGAAAGCGUGGGGAGCGAACAGG
Molecule: ribosomal RNA, 253 nt
Filed under: uncultured bacterium
Lineage: Bacteria
Description: partial 16S ribosomal RNA
Rfam family: Bacterial small subunit ribosomal RNA
Source: RNAcentral